UCCCUGAUAGUCCAUUGGUUAGGACUUGGCACUUUCAUUGCUGGGGCCCAAGUUCAAGUCCUGAUCAGGGAA
Molecule: non-coding RNA, 72 nt
Organism: Bos taurus (domestic cattle)
Lineage: Eukaryota; Metazoa; Chordata; Mammalia; Artiodactyla; Bovidae
Source: Rfam